UUCAUUCUGUAAAGAAACAAUAUACUGUAUAUAUAUAUAUAUAUAUGUAUAUAUACAGUACUUUGUCAUGUCUAAUAAUUUAAUUUUCAGCAAAAUUAAACAGUUCAUCUAAUAUAGUGUUGGUCGCGUGACGUGAAAAAUGACGUGACAUCUGCAGCCAAUUACCGUGAUGAAUCGUUCCUACUUCUAAGAGCAUGUCAUCGUUAAACUUAAACUUUGUAUGAAAACAAAACAGGAAGUAACUCGUUUAAUAAUUUUGUUGGAAAUGAAUAAAGAGAAUGAAUUUGUUACUUGCAGUACGAUAAAAAAACUAAAGUUUUAUGGAAGGCAGAAUUUAAAAGUUAAGAAAUUAUUAGAAAAACGUCUUAAGCUGAUGGAAAAAUGUCCUUUGCCAGACGAUUUUAAAUCAACGUAAGAAUUAUGAAUGUUUCUCUAAUUAUGUUAUAUUUAAUUCUAUACAUAAUAUGCUUUAUAGUUUACAAUAUGUAACCUAUUCGAUUUAAUAAUUUAUUCAAAAUUAAAAUAAUUUAUUAAUAACACAUCCUGCUAAACUCAAAAUAACUGAAAGAAAACGAAAAAUAAAUUUAUAUAUAAUUUGUUAUUUUUGUGAAUCAGAGAUACUAUAUUUUUAUUUUUGUUGUUCUCUAAUCAUAUACUAUUAGGAUUGAGUAUGGUGAUACCUCGGUUUUCGUCGAUGAUUCGUCUGAAAUCCGAAACUGAUGAAAACCGAGGCAAUUAUUUCCAUUAGAAUUAAUGUAAAUCCAAUUAAUUCAUUCUAGACAUUCCAAAAUACAUACCAAAAACACAUUUUAUAGAGAAUAAAUGUAGUGUUUAAUACUAAAAACAAUAUGAAAGCAGCCGAUUUUGGCAAUCUUAAUUUUGCUCUUGUAUUUUACAAUGAUUUUUUUCUUCAACUUUGAUUGUGUUCCUUGCUGUCUUCUUCAAAGGGUUGCUGGCUUUGGAAACUUUCUUUGGUCCUACGAUGGAGCAAAAAGGAAAGGAAAGCAAUGGAAUUGUUUGGCUAGAGGUGAGGGAGUAAUAAUGCUCAUACAAUGAGGAACAAUGCCACACUGAGCAGGAAAACACAUGGGUUUGUUUUCACCUUUUGUUUUCACAAAAUUAGAUCAAGUGGGCAUGCCGACAAAAUCCGAGGCAGCUGACAAAAACCAAGACAAAUUUUUCACAGAAAAAACCGACAAUAUGAUAACCGAGGUAUUACUGUAUUUCAUCCAGAAAUUCCAAUAUCUGAAGAUUAAUGAUGACAAAGUAAUUUUAUUUACAAUCCUAUGCAUUUUGUUAUUGCAUAAUAACAAAAUGCAUAGGAUUAGUG
Centruroides sculpturatus (bark scorpion) is the source of this 1330-nucleotide long non-coding RNA. RefSeq lists it as uncharacterized. The transcript is spliced from 3 exons. The record is from RefSeq and is a predicted model, not a curated record. Lineage: Eukaryota; Metazoa; Arthropoda; Arachnida; Scorpiones; Buthidae.